AGAGUUUGAUCCUGGCUCAGGAUGAACGCUGGCGGCGUGCUUAACACAUGCAAGUCGAACGAAGCACUUUAUUUGAUUUCUUCGGAAUGAAGAUUUUGUGACUGAGUGGCGGACGGGUGAGUAACGCGUGGGUAACCUGCCUCAUACAGGGGGAUAACAGUUGGAAACGACUGCUAAUACCGCAUAAGCGCACAGGGUCGCAUGACCUGGUGUGAAAAACUCCGGUGGUAUGAGAUGGACCCGCGUCUGAUUAGCCAGUUGGUGGGGUAACGGCCUACCAAAGCAACGAUCAGUAGCCGACCUGAGAGGGUGACCGGCCACAUUGGGACUGAGACACGGCCCAAACUCCUACGGGAGGCAGCAGUGGGGAAUAUUGCACAAUGGGGGAAACCCUGAUGCAGCGACGCCGCGUGAGCGAAGAAGUAUUUCGGUAUGUAAAGCUCUAUCAGCAGGGAAGAAGAAAUGACGGUACCUGACUAAGAAGCACCGGCUAAAUACGUGCCAGCAGCCGCGGUAAUACGUAUGGUGCAAGCGUUAUCCGGAUUUACUGGGUGUAAAGGGAGCGCAGGCGGUACGGCAAGUCUGAUGUGAAAGCCCGGGGCUCAACCCCGGUACUGCAUUGGAAACUGUCGGACUAGAGUGUCGGAGGGGUAAGUGGAAUUCCUAGUGUAGCGGUGAAAUGCGUAGAUAUUAGGAGGAACACCAGUGGCGAAGGCGGCUUACUGGACGAUUACUGACGCUGAGGCUCGAAAGCGUGGGGAGCAAACAGGAUUAGAUACCCUGGUAGUCCACGCCGUAAACGAUGAAAUAUAGGUGUCGGGGAGCAUGUUCCUUCGGGGCCGCAGCAAACGCAAU
Molecule: ribosomal RNA, 855 nt
Filed under: uncultured bacterium
Lineage: Bacteria
Description: bacterial SSU rRNA
Rfam family: Bacterial small subunit ribosomal RNA
Source: RNAcentral